Long non-coding RNA from Xenopus tropicalis (tropical clawed frog), 535 nucleotides. RefSeq lists it as uncharacterized. The record is from RefSeq and is a predicted model, not a curated record. The transcript is spliced from 3 exons. Lineage: Eukaryota; Metazoa; Chordata; Amphibia; Anura; Pipidae.
CAGGGCCUGCCACAGAGCUGCCAGUUGGGACAGACCCAUAUUACUCCAUUAUUGAAUUUUCUCCUAUUGAGAGAGAUCCUGUAUUUCAAACCACCAACACUCAGAACGUGACAUAUUCGCAGGUGAAUACAAGCCCGGAUACGCUCUCUUCCACCAAACAAGUUCCAUGAAACUCGAGAUAGCUAAGGAACAUUUCUAAGAACUGGAAACGUAAACUGGAUCCUCAGUAUCGCUAUUUUGCAGUCUGUAUUUACUGGUAAAUUCAGGGCAAAAUUCCUGUGGUCAUUUCUCUACAAUACCAGUUGAAUGGUGUAGAGUCCAACCCUGAAUUUCAUACAGUUUGACUUGACUGAUAGCAACUAAUUCAAUGGAAGGAAGCAGAACAGCAAGAAGAAAAGUUCUCUGGGACCCAGCAAGACCUUGGUCAAUUGCUUUGCUAUUGUAGACAGUUUGGAAAAUGGUGUUAAUUCUCAUAGGAUAAUAAUUAAGCAUUUUAUUAAGAGGUCUAUUCAUCAAAUCACGAAUGCUCCGAGUA